Amphiprion ocellaris (clown anemonefish) is the source of this 718-nucleotide long non-coding RNA. Lineage: Eukaryota; Metazoa; Chordata; Actinopteri; Pomacentridae. The record is from Ensembl.
CUGUGUGUUUGUGUCUGGAGGGUCCGACAGCUGUAAUUAACUGAUCGGUGAGGACGGGGAAGUUGUGCUUUGUAGAUUAUUUGGUUAGAGGUCUUUUCUCCUGCUGCUCUCCAUCUUCUUCAUUUCUCUUGUCCUCCCAGUCACUCCUCCCUCUUUUCUUUCUUCUUCCACUUCUCAACCUGCCGGCAGCUCUUUUCAUUUUUCUUCCUGCCAUCAUUUUUUUCUGCUUUUCUCUUCCUCUCUCUCUCCUGUGUGUUACAUUGCCUGUCUCUUUAACCCAGUUCCACAUUGAACCCUGACCUCUCUCACUUGCGUAACUUCUGUGAUAACUGCGCUUUUGUGUGUUCCACAAUGUCUCUCGCUCCACUUCUUCACAAUACGAGUCACAAGUCACAGCUGAAGCACACAGGAGCUCUUCUCUUUGGAGGUCGGAGAUGUCAUGGUGGCUCCUGGCUGCUGAAAGAGAAGGACUAGUUCACCCAUGAUCAUCAGCAGCCACCAGUGUUCGUGGGAGACACCAAGAACAUCAAAACCCCCGAGAAUUCACUUGUUCAAGCCUCUGGCAUAAGAAGAGUUCUUAUUUUUCUUACUUUUUUGUGAUGGUAAACUGUUUUUGUCUUUGGGUUUUCAUGUAUAUUAUAUAUUGUUGUAACUGUAGUUCUAAAUUAGUCAGGUUAAUUUCCACAAUUAAUGUUACUAUCAGGUCUUAGCCUUAUCA